This 392-nucleotide ribosomal RNA is filed under the name uncultured bacterium. Its description in RNAcentral is "partial 16S ribosomal RNA". It matches the Rfam family "Bacterial small subunit ribosomal RNA", at positions 523 to 918 of the family's 1533-position model. The record is from RNAcentral.
AUACGGAGGAUCCGAGCGUUAUCCGGAUUUAUUGGGUUUAAAGGGUGCGCAGGCGGCCAUUUAAGUCAGCGGUUAAAUCGUGGGGCUCAACCCCAUUCUGCCGUUGAUACUGGGUGGCUUGAUUGCGGUCGAGGUUGGCGGAAUUCGUUGUGUAGCGGUGAAAUGCAUAGAAAUGACGAAGAACACCGAUUGCGUAGGCAGCUGACCAGAUCGCAAAUGACGCUCAUGCACGAAAGUGCGGGGAUCGAACAGGAUUAGAUACCCUGGUAGUCCGCACAGUAAACGAUGAAUACUUGUUUUCGGCGAUAUAAUGUCGGAGGCAAAGCGAAAGCGAUAAGUAUUCCACCUGGGGAGUACGCCGGCAACGGUGAAACUUAAAGGAAUUGACGGGG